This 723-nucleotide long non-coding RNA is filed under the name Vigna radiata. RNAcentral describes it as "long non-coding RNA (VRAD_LNC010048)". The record is from RNAcentral. Lineage: Eukaryota; Viridiplantae; Streptophyta; Magnoliopsida; Fabales; Fabaceae.
UUGGAGUUUCUGAUUUUGUAUUUGCUUGGGUAUUAUGCAGGUUUUCGUUAUGGUGUUGUGUCCGUUGAUUUCGGGCUUCUAUUAUGGUGGCUAUGGUUUGAUUUUGUGUGUGUGGGUGUGUUGAGAAUGAUGGUACUAUUUUGCUAUUCUUUCCUUCUGUUAUUCUUCUGGUGGGUAUUCAAAUUUGUUGUUGAUGAUUGGCUAUUGUCAAAGCAGUGGGGAGCAAGAGGGCAAGUGAAAUGGUAAGGUUUGGAUACGGCGGUGAUAGAUGGGGUGAGGGUGGGGGAAAGGAUUGGGUUAUUUAUUUGGUAUCUUUUUUUUUGUUGUUGUCUUUUUUCCUUUUUUAAACUGCAGGGAGCUGCGAGUGGGGUAUAUCAAGCGGGAUGAACAUGGAAAUGGUGGACUAGUGUAUGAAGGCCAUUUGACAACGUAGAAGAAUCAAGAUGAAAUGUGCUUAUGCAUUAAAUGAUGACGGGAAAGGCACAUAUUCACACUAUAAUAUCAUACUCAAACAGGACGAAAUCAACCGUAAAACCACAUACAAUGCAGCCAUGAAGAUUCAAGUGAACAAGGUGUGAGCAAGGAGUGAGUAAGGGCACUUACCUCUUGGAGCUAUGAAUACCUUUAUCAGCCUAGUAUCUUCUCCUUCCUCGUGCUGACACCCUUUGUUUCCUCUUUGCAAGUAUAUCCUCCGUGAUCGUAACACUCUGUUCUUUUUUUUUU